This 116-nucleotide ribosomal RNA is filed under the name Mesorhizobium sp. LSJC277A00. Lineage: Bacteria; Pseudomonadati; Pseudomonadota; Alphaproteobacteria; Hyphomicrobiales; Phyllobacteriaceae. The record is from RNAcentral.
CCUGGUGGUUAUGGCGGAGCGGCUGCACCCGAUCCCAUUCCGAACUCGGCCGUGAAACGCUCCAGCGCUGAUGGUACUUCGUCUNAAUCUUCUCUCUACGAAAAGGCCCGCCAAGG